AUCUGCUGUGCUGGUGUUCUGUGAGUGAGCCCAGGAUAGGGAGAAUUACAGUAAUAGAGCAAAAGAUCAAAAGCAUACUGGUUCUCAGUCGUCCCAGUGGUUAAUUCUGAAUGCAAAGGAAAGGUAAUCAUACACCCACCAAAUAGAUGGAGAAAUCAGUACAUUUUGUGAAAGGAACUCCCUGAGUACCAACAGGAAGGUAAAGGACAACUUUACAUAAAUGUAAAGAGUUUGUGUUAAAUCUGUACAGGAAUUUGAAACUGUGAGAGCUGUCAACCAUUCUUGGACAGAACCUUCCCUGCAAGUUAGCAUGAAUUAUAUAGCUGUAUUACCAAGGACGUCCAGUACAAGAGAGACUAGAAACUGUCAUUUAUUUCUGACCUUGUUUGGUAAGAGAUAUAAAAUCCUUAGGAAGUUUCAAAGCGAUCUGUUGAGUUUCCUGGAGUAAUUACUCUCAGAUGUCAGUGUGACAAUUCAGAUGUCAGCAUUCAAAAUUGCUGGUCAUUUUACAAGGCAUUCAGCUCAUUGGGACUGUUGCUGUCCUAAGCUGAAGGCUGACAAGCUGUACGUACUCGCAUCCUGUGAAGGAGCAGUAUGUUCUGCUCUGACCAGCCCUAAUGAAAAGGCCAAAGUCUUUUUUUAAACAUCUGCCUACAUGAAAGCAUGUUUGGUGAUGCGAUUCCGUUCUUCAGUGCAAAUUUCAUACUUGAAUCAAUGCUGACAGAAUUUCAGACAUCUCUUGACCCGAAACAGUAAUGAGAAGAAGAAAUGAUCGUCUGAAGGGUUUCCUCUGACCCACCCCAGGGUAUUUGGUAAGAAGGAAACAAAAUUAUAUUUGAAUCCAUUCAUGCACCACCUCUGAAUGUGUAGACAGAAUUCCCAGGCCUCAUGUUUCUCAGAGAUUGUAUUCAGAGCAGUGAGGAGCAAUCUGUUACUAUGAGCUGACUGCAGGUCAGCUGAUAAAGCUAU
This is a long non-coding RNA of Tympanuchus pallidicinctus (lesser prairie-chicken), 969 nucleotides long. RefSeq lists it as uncharacterized. The transcript is spliced from 6 exons. The record is from RefSeq and is a predicted model, not a curated record. NCBI's taxonomy places the organism in Eukaryota, Metazoa, Chordata, Aves, Galliformes, Phasianidae.